Molecule: non-coding RNA, 331 nt
Organism: Paramuricea clavata
Lineage: Eukaryota; Metazoa; Cnidaria; Anthozoa; Malacalcyonacea; Plexauridae
Source: the annotation of a GenBank genome assembly
GUUUCAGAAUAACAAGUCUCAUUGACCUUUGACUCAUUCCCAAGGUCACCUUGUGUUUCAUGAGUCACUUUCACGUUUUCGCGUGAAUUCAAUGUCACUUUAGAUUUCAAUAGUUUCACAUUUAUAGCAGUGUUUAUAGCAGUAUUGAUAAGCUUUGAUACAGAUAGAUUCUCGUUAGAUCUGGCACUGAACACGAUUUUGCACCGUUGUACUAGACCCGUGAACAAGGUCUGUGACGGUAACACGCUGGCUACCUCCUUGCCUUUUUCUUCCAUUGCAUAAAGCUCGCUGGCAAGUCAAGCGAUUGGCGAUAACACGUGGGCUAUCUCCU